Molecule: small nuclear RNA, 142 nt
Organism: Lepus europaeus (European hare)
Lineage: Eukaryota; Metazoa; Chordata; Mammalia; Lagomorpha; Leporidae
Product: U4 spliceosomal RNA
Exons: 1
Source: RefSeq, a predicted model, not a curated record
AGAUUUGCACAGCGGCAGUAUAUCAUAGCCAAUGAGGUUUAUCCGAGGUGCGAUUAUUGCUAAUUGAAAACUUUUCCCAAAUGCCGGCACCUUCUUCUCUCUCUCUCUCUCUCUCAAAGAGUUUUUUAUUAUUUAUUUUAAA